Molecule: ribosomal RNA, 447 nt
Filed under: uncultured bacterium
Lineage: Bacteria
Description: partial 16S ribosomal RNA
Rfam family: Bacterial small subunit ribosomal RNA
Source: RNAcentral
AACGAACGCUGGCGGCAGGCUUAACACAUGCAAGUCGAACGCCCCGCAAGGGGAGUGGCAGACGGGUGAGUAACACGUGGGAACGUACCUUUUGGUUCGGAACACCUGAGGGAAACUUGGGACAAUACCGGAUACGUGCGAAAGCAGAAAGAUUUAUCGCCGAGAGAUCGGCCCGCGACCGAUUAGCUAGUUGGUGAGGUAACGGCUCACCAAGGCGACGAUCGGUAGCUGGUCUGAGAGGAUGAUCAGCCACACUGGGACUGAGACACGGCCCAGACUCCUACGGGAGGCAGCAGUGGGGAAUAUUGGACAAUGGGCGCAAGCCUGAUCCAGCCAUGCCGCGUGAGUGAUGAAGGCCCUAGGGUUGUAAAGCUCUUUCGCCAGGGACGAUAAUGACGGUACCUGGAGAAGAAGCCCCGGCUAACUUCGUGCCAGCCGCCGCCGUAA